RNAcentral lists this long non-coding RNA (211 nucleotides) under Vigna radiata. RNAcentral's name for it is "long non-coding RNA (VRAD_LNC013473)". The record is from RNAcentral. Lineage: Eukaryota; Viridiplantae; Streptophyta; Magnoliopsida; Fabales; Fabaceae.
UGUGUGAUAGCUUGAUUGGUACACUACUCAACAUUCAGGGAAAGACAAAAGAUGGAGUGAAUGCUCGUUUGGAUUUGGUUGACAUGAAUAUCCGAGAAGAGUUGGCACCCAAGGAGAUUGGUAAACGUACUUAUUUGCCCCCUGCAUGUUACACAAUGUCUAGACAAGAGAAGAUAAGUUUUUUUCUUUGUUUAAAGAGUAUCAAAGUAUC